AGUAAGGUCAGCUAAACAAGCUAUCGGGCCCNUACCCNNAAAAUGUUGGUUCAUACCCCUUCCCAUACUA
RNAcentral lists this transfer RNA (70 nucleotides) under Tamiops mcclellandii barbei. RNAcentral's name for it is "tRNA-Met". The record is from RNAcentral. Lineage: Eukaryota; Metazoa; Chordata; Mammalia; Rodentia; Sciuridae.